ACCCUUCCACUCAUUUUUUACAAACUACCAAACAAAUAAAUAAGACAACAAACAUAGGAAGAAAUAAAGGAAGGAAACCUGCCAUCUUCACACCACCAUCAUACAAAAGCAUUAAAAAUCAAUUUGAUCCCAUUCUAUAGAAAAAGAAAAAGAAAAAUCAACUUACUCCAAUCACAGGCCAACAACAAAAAAUCAUAAAGGAUGUAUGUACCCACCUCAGUUAGAUAGAUGAGAAAUACAUAUUAUAUAAUAUUAGUUUGUUUAGAUCUUUGAAUUUGCUGGGUGAGCACCAAGUAGACAG
RNAcentral lists this long non-coding RNA (301 nucleotides) under Prunus dulcis (almond). RNAcentral describes it as "sRNA ncRNA". The record is from RNAcentral. Lineage: Eukaryota; Viridiplantae; Streptophyta; Magnoliopsida; Rosales; Rosaceae.